UUUAAACUAUCAACAAAGCCUUGGGCAGCAAGUAAACGUAGCACUUGACUUUUGGGAUUAUGAAAGACUAAAGAUAUUAGACAGCCUUGAAUGAGGAAAUGGAAAACCGUCUUGACAGCGCAACAGUCAUUUUUGUACGGCAUGUAAAUGUCCUGAAGAGGAAGGAAGCCGUACUCUGAGCUUCUUUACUGUUUAUUCUGAGUACUUAGAACCAUCAACCACAGACUUCACACUCACUGUUCAGAACAUCACACUGCCAGCAAGUCCACCAACCCCACUCCUCCCUUCCUCUCUACUGCAGGGUGGUGAUGCAGCUAUGGAGUUGAGAACUACAGGAAGUGUGUUUGUGUUCUUCCUCUGCUCUUUGGCAGUGGUGCUGGGUCAGUACUGGAGAGUGACUUACCCCCUCCAGAGUGUCUGUGUCUUGAGAGGCUCAUCAGUGGACCUGUCCUGCUCCUAUACUUACCCCAGAGGUCACAAAGUCACUACAACAUUCUGGUUUACCAGACGGAGGGAUGGUGAAGUUUCACAGGACCUGAGUCUGGACCCAGAGUAUGCAGGUCGUGUGCAAUACUGUGGGAAUAAGAAGAGUAAAGCAACCCUGACGAUCACAGACCUGAGAGAGAGAGAUGCUGCUGUGUACAAGUUCAGGAUUAUUACAGACAA
Molecule: long non-coding RNA, 666 nt
Organism: Osmerus eperlanus (European smelt)
Lineage: Eukaryota; Metazoa; Chordata; Actinopteri; Osmeriformes; Osmeridae
Exons: 3
Source: RefSeq, a predicted model, not a curated record